UACGUAGGGUGCGAGCGUUGUCCGGAAUUAUUGGGCGUAAAGGGCUCGUAGGCGGUCUGUUGCGUCGGGAGUGAAAACUCAGGGCUUAACCCUGAGCCUGCUUCCGAUACGGGCAGACUAGAGGUAUGCAGGGGAGAACGGAAUCCUGGUGUAGCGGUGAAAUGCGCAGAUAUCAGGAGGAACACCGGUGGCGAAGGCGGUUCUCUGGGCAUUACCUGACGCUGAGGAGCGAAAGUGUGGGGAGCGAACAGG
This 252-nucleotide ribosomal RNA is filed under the name uncultured bacterium. RNAcentral describes it as "partial 16S ribosomal RNA". It matches the Rfam family "Bacterial small subunit ribosomal RNA", at positions 524 to 776 of the family's 1533-position model. The record is from RNAcentral.